GAUGAACGCUGGCGGCAUGCUUUACACAUGCAAGUCGGACGGGAAGUGGUGUUUCCAGUGGCGUACGGGUGAGUAACGCGUAAGAACCUGCCCUUGGGAGGGGAACAACAGCUGGAAACGGCUGCUAAUACCCCGUAGGCUGAGGAGCGAAAGGAGGAAUCCGCCCAAGGAGGGGCUCGCGUCUGAUUAGCUAGUUGGUGAGGUAAUAGCUUACCAAGGCCGUGAUCAGUAGCUGGUCCGAGAGGAUGAUCAGCCACACUGGGACUGAGACAAGGACCAGACUCCUACGGGAGGCAGCAGUGGGGAAUUUUCCGCAAUGGGCGAAAGCCUGACGGAGCAAUGCCGCGUGGAGGUAAAAGGCCUACGGGUCAUGAACUUCUUUUCCUGGAGAAGAAACAAUGACGGUAUCUGGGGAAUAAGCAUCGGCUAACUCUGUG
This 437-nucleotide ribosomal RNA is filed under the name uncultured bacterium. Its description in RNAcentral is "partial 16S ribosomal RNA". It matches the Rfam family "Bacterial small subunit ribosomal RNA", at positions 28 to 507 of the family's 1533-position model. The record is from RNAcentral.